RNAcentral lists this ribosomal RNA (911 nucleotides) under uncultured bacterium. Its description in RNAcentral is "bacterial SSU rRNA". It matches the Rfam family "Bacterial small subunit ribosomal RNA", at positions 8 to 906 of the family's 1533-position model. The record is from RNAcentral.
AGAGUUUGAUCCUGGCUCAGAUUGAACGCUGGCGGCAGGCCUAACACAUGCAAGUCGAGCGGUAGCAGCAAGAAGACUUGCUUUUCUUGAGAGCGGCGGAACGGGUGAGUAAUGCCUAGGAAUCUGCCUGGUAGUGGGGGAUAACGUUCGGAAACGGACGCUAAUACCGCAUACUGUCCUACGGGAGAAAGUGGGGGAUCUUCGGACCUCACGCUAUCAGAUGAGCCUAUGUCGGAUUAGCUAGUUGGUGAGGUAAUGGCUCACCAAGGCGACGAUCCGUAACUGGUCUGAGAGGAUGAUCAGUCACACUGGAACUGAGACACGGUCCAGACUCCUACGGGAGGCAGCAGUGGGGAAUAUUGGACAAUGGGCGCAAGCCUGAUCCAGCCAUGCCGCGUGUGUGAAGAAGGUCUUCGGAUUGUAAAGCACUUUAAUUUGGGAGGAAGCUCAGUAACCUAAUACGUUGCUGAUUUGACGUUACCGACAGAAUAAGCACCGGCUAACUCUGUGCCAGCAGCCGCGGUAAUACAUAGGGUGCAAGCGUUAAUCGGAAUUACUGGGCGUAAAGCGCGCGUAGGUGGUUAUGUAAGACGGAUGUGAAAUCCCCGGGCUCAACCUGGGAACUGCAUCCAAAACUGCAUAGCUAGAGUACGGUAGAGGGUGGAUGGAAUUUCCUGUGUAGCAGUGAAAUGCGUAGAUAUACGAAGGAACACCAGAUGGCGAAGGCGACCACCUGGACUUAUACUGACACUCAUGCGCAAAAGCGUGGGGAGCAACAGGGAUUAGAUACCCUGGUAGUCCACGCCCUAAACGAUGUCAACUAGCCGUUGGGUUCCUUCUGAACUUAUUGCCACACCUAACCCGUUAAUUUAACCCCCUGGGAAUUCCUGCCCCAAGGUUAAAACUCAAAU